CCUACGGGUGGCAGCAGUGAGGAAUAUUUGUCAAUGGGCGCGAGCCUGAACCAGCCAAGUAGCGUGAAGGAUGACUGCCCUACGGGUUGUAAACUUCUUUUAUGUAGGAAUAAAGUGAGGCACGUGUGCCGUAUUGUAUGUAGAGUAUGAAUAAGGAUCGGCUAACUCCGUGCCAGCAGCCGCGGUAAUACGGAGGAGCCGAGCGUUAGCCGGAUUUCUUGGGUUUAACGGGAGCGUAGGUGGGGUGUUAAGUCAGUUGUGAAAGUUUGCGGCUCAACCGUAACAUUGCAAAUGGUACUGGCAGCCUUGAGUACAGUUGUGGUAGGCGGAAUUCGUGGUGUAGCAGUUAAAUGCUUAGAUAUCACGA
Molecule: ribosomal RNA, 367 nt
Filed under: uncultured bacterium
Lineage: Bacteria
Description: partial 16S ribosomal RNA
Rfam family: Bacterial small subunit ribosomal RNA
Source: RNAcentral